UUGAUAUGGUAAUGUCAUGUUAGCUCUUGUUACAUCUUAUUAUUACAUUAACAAAUUUUUUUUUAAAAUUUAUAAUGUUACAUCAAUAAUACAAUAUGUCAUAUUAGGUGAUGUGAUAUUGAUAUAUGACACAUGAUAUCUAAUGUGGCAAUACCACAUCAACAUGUUAUUAAAGAUUGACGGUUACGAGAAUUUUGCUCAAAUUUUAAUAAUUAACUUGAAAAUUUUAGUAGUUAGGUGAUUAUUUUAAAAAUAAGAUCAUAAUCGAAUGACAACUGAUAUAUUUUACUCUAAAAAGUACUAUUGACUCAAAGUAUCUAUAUUACACUAGACAAGAUUAAAAGAAUCCCUUAAGGAUUCUUCGUUGACACUUGUCCAAUAUUACCAAAUUAUAAACAUACACUUAUUCCUCAUUAUAUACUACACUAGAUUAAAAGACUACUUAAGGAUUCUCUGUGCGACACUUGUCCAAUAUUACCAAAUUAUUAUUAUAACCUUAUUCAUCAUUCAUAUUCCAAUGACUCAUAAGACAUCUAUCCACUUUUGCAAAAUAUUCAUUUUGUCCAUUGAUCCUAAUUUUUUAUUAUAACUUAUCUAAUAUUUUAAAUAACUAUUACAUCCUUACUCUCUACUUGAUUGUCAAGAAAAUAGAGAUGGCAUUUAAUAAUUGUUAAGGGUAUUUUCAUCUUUUCAUCAACUUUCAUUGGAGGUUACUCUUGCACUUAAAACCUAAAACAUUGAUCAAUAUUUUGAGACUAUUGAUACAAAAUAUAAAAAAUUAAUCAAAAAAUAAAAAAGUGAAGAAACAGAUUUUUUUUCCUAAGUAUUCAAACAUAUCUAGGCUAAAUAUAUAUAAAAAAAAUUAAAACCAUCUUGAAAUCAAAUGUGUUUUUACAAAGAAAUUAGAACCAAAAUAAUAAAAACAAUACAUUCAAAUUGAUCUAAAAAUAGAAAUAAUAAUCCAAAAAUAACAAAAAUAGAUCUAGCAAAUUUUUUUUAUCCUACUUGAAAGUCAAAACCAAAAUAAUGCAAAAAAAAGUCAACAAAAAAACAAAUGCAUCUCAUCUCAGGUUUAGGGGAUUUUAAAGAGAUUUAGAGUUGUUUAAAAAGAUAAAAACAUAGAGGAAUUAAGAUUAGAGGAAGAAGACAAGGGCUAUUUUAGGGCUUUGGAGAUUUGGAUCUAGGCCUUUGAAAGGAGAUUUCAAAAAAAAAAAAAAUUUGAGUUAAGAAAAGAGAAUAUAAGGUUUAAAGGGAUCAAUUCUUUUUUUUUUUUUUUUUUUUUUUUGAGUUUUUUCGUCACUUGCGAGAUUUUGGUGGCAACGAGAAGACACGGUGGGAUUUUAAAGAGAGGGCAAGGAAUGGUGUAAUGGAAGCUGAGGGAGAAAGAUGGAAGAUGAAGAAUGAGAGAAAAAAACAUAGAGUUUAGGUUAAAUGCUUAAUUUAUAAUUAAACAUUUAAAAGAUUAUUUAAUUUAAGAUUAAACGUUUAUUUUAUAUGAAUAAAAAUUAAACCUUAUUGAUUUAUAAUAAUUUAAAAUUUUUUUAAAUAAAAACAAAGUUAUGAAUGACACACGUUAAAUUUUUACAAUUGAAAAAAUAAUCAAAUUUAUUGCUGAGUUGGCAAAAAAAAGUCAAAUUUGGUUACUAAACUCAUAAAAAAUUUUUAAAAUAAAAUUAAAUGAAAAUUUAACUUUUAACUUUUAUUUUAUUUUCCUUUCUCUCUAUCUGUUCUUCUCUCAUCAAUUUUUUCUCACACCCAUCUUUCUCUAAUCUUUCAAAUUCUCUAUGGCCACCAUCCUAACAACUCGAACAAAUCAGAGUCGAGCAAUAACCCACUUAUAUCCAAAAAAAUCCAAACACAUCUUCAAAGACUAAUCCUCAUUCUUUCACCUAAUGAAACCCUUUUCCUCUCCAAAUCUCAACCCAUCCGCAAGAUCAUUGCUACCUAAGCCAACUUUAUGUGCAUCAUCAUCCAACUAGAAUAGAAACCUUAUGGAAAAUAACUUCUAGAAGCUUGAAGAAGAAGAUUCCAACAUUAAAAUUAAGAUGGAAUUACGCAAUGUGAAGGCAGCUUUAAAAAAGACAAAGAUAAAGGUUUUAACGGGAGACAAGAUGGUGGCAAGUUUCAUUGAUUGGAUGAAAUGAAAUGGCAUGAUCAGGAAUUUUUUUCUAUGAAGCUCUAUGCUUAGUGUUGAUUUCUAGGUUUUGGAUUUUUUGUUAGAUAUUUUUUUGGGGUUUUGGUUGGUUUUAGUGAAUUAAUAUUUUCAAAGAAUCAAUUUCAUUUCAAUUAUCCAAUAAACAAAGAAUGAAACAAAAAAUAAAAACAUAUGGGGCUUAAAAAUGUCACGACCAAAGUCAUAAAAAAAGCCUUCAAGAUAUUAACUUGAGCCAUUAAUGAAAGAGAAAAGGUGAAAAAAUUUUUUCAGAAAAAAACCAAAGUUGGUACAGCUUGUGUUCAAAAACAAUGAAAAAACUCUCAUUGUCUCUAACUAAAAUCGAAUACCCAAUUGUAUGAAAGCUCUUCAAUUUUCAAAAUCACCCUACAAGAAAAAAGAAAGGAAAAAGUUGUUACAUUAAUAAGCGGUAAGGUAACGAAACCACCUUUUAUAGUAAAUACAGUACGUAGCUUUUUCAAAACCAAGAAAACCAAUUAGCAAGAAAGCAAUAAAAGAGAGAGAGAGAAAGGGAGAGACAGAGUUGGGUGUUCGCAUGGAGAUGGAUAUCAAUAGGAACGACUAUAACAAGAAGGGCCAAAUGGUAGUGAGAAUUUUGGUUCGUUUGAUGUUUUUGGUUUACAACCAUUAGAUUUUUAUUACCCACUGUUACUUUAAACCAAAAAAAUCAUAAAACUAGACUAUAAAAUACAUGAUAUCAAAAAAUAAGGUUGACAACUCAACUCGCAACCGGUGGAUUUCGACUUGAC
This 2922-nucleotide long non-coding RNA is filed under the name Durio zibethinus. RNAcentral describes it as "long non-coding RNA (DZIB_LNC000992)". The record is from RNAcentral. Lineage: Eukaryota; Viridiplantae; Streptophyta; Magnoliopsida; Malvales; Malvaceae.